Molecule: non-coding RNA, 186 nt
Organism: Prunus avium (sweet cherry)
Lineage: Eukaryota; Viridiplantae; Streptophyta; Magnoliopsida; Rosales; Rosaceae
Source: RefSeq, a predicted model, not a curated record
CUCCUUCGUUUCUCCACCGAUUCCGACGAGUGAGGUAAUCCGACUCCGCCUUCAGAGCAGGCAGGACCCUCUCGGGGUCACGCAGCUUGGGACUACUUCCAGUAGUUGACUGGAACGAGCUGCAGUGCCGUGUUUUGUACCCCAGCUAUCACGAGCCGCAGUACUUGAGCUUUCUCGGAGCCUCAG